GUUAGGAAUAUUGGACAAUGGGCGCAAGCCUGAUCCAGCCAUGCCGCGUGCAGGAUGAAGGCCUUCGGGUUGUAAACUGCUUUUGUACGGAACGAAAAGACUUCUUCUAAUACAGGAGGUCCAUGACGGUACCGUAAGAAUAAGCACCGGCUAACUACGUGCCAGCAGCCGCGGUAAUACGUAGGGUGCAAGCGUUAAUCGGAAUUACUGGGCGUAAAGCGUGCGCAGGCGGUUAUAUAAGACAGAUUUGAAAUCCCCGGGCUCAACCUGGGAACUGCAUUUGUGACUGUAUAGCUAGAGUACGGUAGAGGGGGAUGGAAUUCCGCGUGUAGCAGUGAAAUGCGUAGAUAUGCGGAGGAACACCGAUGGCGAAGGCAAUCCCCUGGACCUGUACUGACGCUCAUGCACGAAAGCGUGGGGAGCAAACAGGAUUAGAAACCCUUGUAGUCC
RNAcentral lists this ribosomal RNA (450 nucleotides) under uncultured bacterium. RNAcentral's name for it is "partial 16S ribosomal RNA". It matches the Rfam family "Bacterial small subunit ribosomal RNA", at positions 354 to 796 of the family's 1533-position model. The record is from RNAcentral.